Molecule: ribosomal RNA, 253 nt
Filed under: uncultured bacterium
Lineage: Bacteria
Description: partial 16S ribosomal RNA
Rfam family: Bacterial small subunit ribosomal RNA
Source: RNAcentral
UACAGGGGGUGCAAACGUUGCUCGGAAUCAUUGGGCGUAAAGCGCACGUAGGCGGUUCGUUAUGUCGGAUGUGAAAGCCCUUGGCUUAACCGAGGAAGUGCAUCCGAAACUGGCGAGCUAGAGUACGAAAGAGGAUCGCGGAAUUCCCGGUGUAGAGGUGAAAUUCGUAGAUAUCGGGAGGAACACCGGUGGCGAAGGCGGCGAUCUGGGUCGAUACUGACGCUGAGGUGCGAAAGCGUGGGUAGCAAACAGG